Molecule: non-coding RNA, 45 nt
Filed under: Schistosoma margrebowiei
Lineage: Eukaryota; Metazoa; Platyhelminthes; Trematoda; Strigeidida; Schistosomatidae
Source: RNAcentral
AUCCAGUUGAUUAGUCCCAAGUGGAACUAAACGCGCGUCCUGGAU